UCCCCGAUAGCUCAGUCGGUAGAGCAGGUGGCUGUUAACCACCGAGUCGCAAGUUCGAGUCUUGCUCGGGGAG
RNAcentral lists this transfer RNA (73 nucleotides) under Spirochaetia bacterium. Its description in RNAcentral is "tRNA-Asn". It matches the Rfam family "tRNA". From Rfam's summary of the family: Transfer RNA (tRNA) molecules are approximately 80 nucleotides in length. Their secondary structure includes four short double-helical elements and three loops (D, anti-codon, and T loops). The record is from RNAcentral. Lineage: Bacteria; Pseudomonadati; Spirochaetota; Spirochaetia.